Molecule: ribosomal RNA, 253 nt
Filed under: uncultured bacterium
Lineage: Bacteria
Description: partial 16S ribosomal RNA
Rfam family: Bacterial small subunit ribosomal RNA
Source: RNAcentral
UACGGAGGGUGCAAGCGUUAUCCGGAUUCACUGGGUUUAAAGGGUGCGUAGGCGGGCUUGUAAGUCAGUGGUGAAAGCCCGGAGCUUAACUCCGGAACUGCCAUUGAUACUAUCAGUCUUGAAUACCGUGGAGGUCAGUAGAAUAUGUCAUGUAGCGGUGAAAUGCUUAGAUAUGACAUAGAAUACCAAUUGCGAAGGCAGCUGGCUACACGAAUAUUGACACUCAGGCACGAAAGCGUGGGGAUCAAACAGG